AGGUUGCAACACUUUGGUGCGAUGUAGAACUAGGUCACUGAUCUUGAACUCUUUGCUUUGAUGCAGGAGUUAUAGUAUCACAUCACUUUUUAUUGAUAGGCUAUUAUCCGUACUCAUACCUUGUCUCAAACUUCUUCAAGCAAGUUUAGAUUUGUCUAAAGUUUCUCUGCAUGACUUUGAUCAUGAUAAAUCUCGACUCAUAGUGAAGAGAGUCCAACCUCUACUGGACUGAC
This 233-nucleotide long non-coding RNA is filed under the name Elaeis guineensis (African oil palm). Its description in RNAcentral is "long non-coding RNA (EGUI_LNC016915)". Lineage: Eukaryota; Viridiplantae; Streptophyta; Magnoliopsida; Arecales; Arecaceae. The record is from RNAcentral.